AAAUCGAGCUGUUUCCACAUUGUUUUAUGUUAUGAUUUCUCUUACAUGCUUAGAUUGAAGUUCUGUUACAGAAAGCUGCAGUUGAACCCAUUAUUCAGGCGUUUACUGUUGGAAAUGACACUUGAUUUAAGGAUGAUCUGCAAUUAUGUGAACAAGUGAAAUUUUAUUGCCUCACUGACAGAUUUGUUUACUUGUUUCAGACCAAACAAUCGCCCUCCCACGAAGAUGACAGAUCGACUGUAGUCCUGCCAGUCGUCUCCCUCUCAUGAAAUCGUCUGGACCUCUGACCUAAAAGCCUCCUACCCUGUACUUUAACCCAACAGCCUCUGAAAACCUCUGUUCCUAUUUAUACCACACACAGCUGAACAUUACUGCUCGUUAAACCCGCUCUUGUGGCGCACAGCGAGCUUGUUAGCAAUUUGUUUGGGGGAAGAGUUAUCAGACAGUAAACUGUACAUGAAUUUGGAUAUUCCUUUGAUCUUCGCUGCAUGCAAAUCAUAAUCGCAAGUUAUUCAAAUCAUGUAAUGUCUUUAUAAUAUAGAGAGUCCUGUGUUGAAGGCAUCAACGUCAGUUUGGUUCAGAGCCUGAUAUGAUCAUGAAUACUGGCCUGAUUUCAAGUACAUUUGCUGUGGAUGGUUAUGUUUAAUGAAUCCUAAAGUGUUAUGAUGAUCUCCUUUUCCUCUAAUGGCAUAAACAGGACAAAUUAUUCCUCUUGCACGCAUGUACGUAGAUGGAGCCGCCAGUAGGUCUUCAAGACAUUUUUGUGUUUAAUGUGUUAUUUUCUUUGUCUUUAUUGCUGAAACACAUAUGACAGAAACAGACUACAGUCACUCGAAAGGGAAGUGUGGGGUUUGGAUUAAAGAGCAGCAGACUAAGAGACCACGGCGGGUGCUGUUGCCCCAAGAGGAGAGGAAGAGAGCAGGAGCCAUGCUAAUGUCCGGUCUGGACGAAGUGGGACUGGCCAAACAAAGGGGAAUCAGAGAUUCACAUCCUUACUGAGACCUACUCCAUCACCAUCCAAACACUCGAAGGGUGGACUGCGUUCAGAGCCGACAGAGUGCAGGACGAGAGGAGGCGGACUCUGAUGAAAUCACCACUAUCUUCCUUACUGACUAUCAAUAAGCAGGAAUUAGGAGGUUAUUGAUGGAAAACUUGUAGUACUUGUUGUAGAAUCACCCAGAAUGAGGCAUCAGUAAGCGCUUUAUAAUUUAGAGUUAAUAUGCUACUAAUAUAGAUGCUAGCAGGCUACUAGUUAAUGGUGAAUAUAAAUUGUUACUAAAGUACAUAUUAUAUUAUAUAUUAAUUAUAUAUUAGGGAUUAUAUAUGAGAUUAUGUGGCAGCAAUCUGAGAUUUAAAACACGAAAAAAGAGUUUUUCUAAACUGUCAGUUAAACGUUUGUUUUAAGCUAUUUGGUUAAAAGCUUUAGUCAUAGUUUAAAUAAGAACAAAACAUUUCCAGCAAUGUUAUUGUUCGUCUCAGUAGAAAACUUGCUUUCAUGAGUUGGGAAUUGAACCCAGGUCACUGAAAUUGAAAGCACAUGUGUCCGACCAAACAAGGAUGUUAUCGCACAAGUUGUAUCAGUAAAUCUGCCUCAAUGCAGAUUAGUUUGCUUUAGAUCUCUUGAUUAACACACCAAUUUAUCUCCAUCUUAAAAAUAUAUACUUUGGUUGUUUUGUAGGUUGAUUUUGUGAGUGUUAAUUGGAUGAAGAUUAAAAGAGCAGCACCAGUAUGUUAAUAUUGAGUUAACCCUACAUUGAGACAUCUUUGUUUUACUGUCUUUGGAAGAAGCAGGUGUUGCAUUUUUCAACUGGUGGACGUCUCAAGUUGGAAUGAAACUCCUCAUUUGUCCACGCAGUCUCGUCUUGAGCCUCAACAUCAGUAGGUUUGACUUCACAUGUCGAGGUCAAAGCGCUUCAGAAGAUGAAUGAUUUGCCGGCAUCUCUGCGGCCCAUGCAGCCGUCCGCUCCUUCAGAGUUGUUUGAAGUGGAAACAUUUUUCUGCCGUCCUGUCAGCAGCAACGUGCAGCAAGAUCACAAAUCAGGAGUUAAAAUAAAUAAAGCUUUCUCCUCCUGCGAGCUUCAGCCGAUCCGGAGACGAUUAAAGUCUAUUUGUUACAGUGGAGGAAUCUGAAGAUGAGUUAAAGUGUGUGUUUAUGGGUGGGUGUACAUGUGUGAACAAACCCUUUGUUAAACUGCUUGAAACAACUCAGCAGAGUAUUAAUUCACUAAAGCUUGAACCUGUUGUAAACAAGUCUGAACCUAUCGUCACAGAUCGGUUUGUGGAGUCCCGUUUUGAAGCCUUGACAGUUUGUUGGAGCCAGCGGAGGUGACGUACCUCGAGUUGAGCUGCUCUCAUUGGCUGCGCAGUUUGACUCAUCUGUACCAUGAAACGACGGCGGCUCGCCUGGUCACACAUGAUCUCUUAUUCCAGGUGCUGACAGGAUGAUUGGUUUCCACCUGUGCAGUCCGACCUUGCUGCUCAUUGGCUCAACUAAUCUUAAGAUGGCCAAUCACAGUGGCAAGACCUCAAUAAAAGACAGCUCACUUUGACUCUGCUGUUUUGUGUGUGUGGACAUUUAUUUUGUGCAGCUCCAGAGCCGAAUGAGAGCCAGGCUUUAUUAACCCUGACUCGACAGAUAAAGCAUCAUAUUUCAUGUUCUUAUGUUUGCAUUUGCAUUAUUUUUAUUAGACUGCAUUAAAAUACAACAGGUAGGCUGCAUAUUAAUACUCUAACAAUAAAUUAACACAUAUUUUUACAAUCAUUGAUGUGAUAUUGUUACUUUUAUAUUGUGUUUAUCGGGAAUAAAUGAAGGCAAAUAAAAAUAUAAUUAAAGUGAAUAA
Molecule: long non-coding RNA, 2840 nt
Organism: Dicentrarchus labrax (European seabass)
Lineage: Eukaryota; Metazoa; Chordata; Actinopteri; Moronidae
Exons: 2
Source: RefSeq, a predicted model, not a curated record